This is a long non-coding RNA of Mus pahari (shrew mouse), 619 nucleotides long. RefSeq lists it as uncharacterized. The record is from RefSeq and is a predicted model, not a curated record. NCBI's taxonomy places the organism in Eukaryota, Metazoa, Chordata, Mammalia, Rodentia, Muridae. The transcript is spliced from 3 exons.
UUAUGACCGAGAGCCUGACACCUGAUGCUGGCGGCUUUUGUCUCUCCAAGUUGGGCCAGUAUUUGGCCAUCUUAUGCGGCGGGUGACUAUGGUGUCCCAGUAAGUGGCUGACGUGGCAGGCGUCCCUGGAGUGGGAGAAGAGAUGGAAAUCCUGUUGCCUGCCACUCCUGGAAUUGAUUCCAAGGCCUCAAGCAUGCUAGCUGAGUGUGCCACCAAUGAGCUGUAGCCCAGCCUUCAUGGCUUUUGUUGUCUUAAGUAACUGGCUCAGACCUACUUCUCCAGACUUUCCAGUUCAUUGCACUGGAACAUGGAGCAACGAUCGGUAGUGUCCAUAUCUCCUCAUCCUCUUGGUCUGCGGCUCACCUCCUGCCGGAACCCGCAGGCUAUCCUCUUGGUCUUCGGCUCACCUCCUGCUGGAACCCGCAGGCUAUCCUCUUGGUCUUCGGCUCACCUCCUGCCGGAACCUGCAGGCUAUCCUCUUGGUCUGUGGCUCACCUCCUGCCGGAACCCGCAGGCUAUUGCUAUUCUGCAUCGACUUCCUGUCUCUGUUUAGAGUGCCCAUGAGUGUUGAGUUAAUGGGGAGUGGCACUUUUUGGAGGUGUGGCCUUGCUAGAGUUGG